RNAcentral lists this ribosomal RNA (691 nucleotides) under uncultured bacterium. RNAcentral describes it as "bacterial SSU rRNA". It matches the Rfam family "Bacterial small subunit ribosomal RNA", at positions 32 to 715 of the family's 1533-position model. The record is from RNAcentral.
AACGCUAGCUACAGGCUUAACACAUGCAAGUCGAGGGGCAGCAUGAAGUUUGCUUGCAAACUUUGAUGGCGACCGGCGGAUGGGUGAGUAACGCGUACCCAACCUGCCCCCUUCCCGGGCACAGCCCUUGGAAACGAGGAUUAACGCCCGAUGGCGUCAGGAUGCCGCAUGGCAUUCCGACCAAAUGCGAAGGAAGGGGAUGGGGGUGCGUCCCAUUAGCUAGUUGGCGGGGUAACGGCCCACCAAGGCAUCGAUGGGUAGGGGUUCUGAGAGGAAGGUCCCCCACACUGGAACUGAGACACGGUCCAGACUCCUACGGGAGGCAGCAGUGAGGAAUAUUGGUCAAUGGAGGCAACUCUGAACCAGCCAAGUAGCGUGAGGGAUGACUGCCCUACGGGUUGUAAACCUCUUUUGUCGGGGAAUAAACCGCGCCACGUGUGGCGCCCUGCAUGCACCCGCAGAAUAAGGACCGGCUAAUUCCGUGCCAGCAGCCGCGGUAAUACGGAAGGUCCGAGCGUUAUCCGGAUUUAUUGGGUUUAAAGGGAGCGUAGGCGGGCUGUUAAGCCAGCCGUCAAAUUGCGGGGCUCAACCCCGUACCGCGGUUGGAACUGGCGGCCUUGAGUCGGCAAGAGGCGCGUGGAAUUCGUGGUGUAGCGGUGAAAUGCAUAGAUAUCACGAAGAACUCCGAUUG